UACGUAGGGGGCAAGCGUUGUUCGGAUUUACUGGGCGUAAAGGGCGCGUAGGCGGCGCGUGAAGUCGGCCAUGAAAUCAUUGGGCUUACCCCAAUGGCUGUGCCCGAUACUUGCGUGCUUAGAGUGCGGGAGAGGCAAUCGGAAUUCUCGGUGUAGCGGUGAAAUGCGUAGAUAUCGAGAGGAACUCCGGUGACGAAGGUGGGUUGCUGGACCGACACUGACGCUGAGGCGCGAAAGCUAGGGGAGCAAACGGG
RNAcentral lists this ribosomal RNA (254 nucleotides) under uncultured bacterium. RNAcentral describes it as "partial 16S ribosomal RNA". It matches the Rfam family "Bacterial small subunit ribosomal RNA", at positions 524 to 776 of the family's 1533-position model. The record is from RNAcentral.